RNAcentral lists this long non-coding RNA (817 nucleotides) under Salmo salar (Atlantic salmon). Its description in RNAcentral is "lncRNA (ENSSSAG00000082152.1)". Lineage: Eukaryota; Metazoa; Chordata; Actinopteri; Salmoniformes; Salmonidae. The record is from RNAcentral.
AAAGAUUAUAGCAAACACCACUGAAACGGAAUUGGUGCUCCCUAGCUUUGCAAAUUCAGCUAUUGUUGGAAGCCAGCCAAUAUGAAACAAACUAUUAAAAUUACAAAAGGUUGCAGCAUAUGUUGUGUAAAUGGUGAACUCAUACAGCUGUCAACUCUUGUCAUUUUAAUCCGUUUCACAUUUGCUAGCUACCUUUUAGAUCGAAGCCCAAAUAGAAUGAUAGAAGAUAAGAUGAUAGAAGCCCAUCUCCUACUGUAAAUAACCUACACGCUGUGUGUGUGUGUAGCCAGCCAGCCAGGUAGAAAAAUGGCAGAAAAAAAAAAAAGACGGACAUCAGAGUAUUUUUCAGUACACCAAAACGCAAAGCAGAGCAGGCAACAGAUGGCAAACAGACAGCAGAGUUGGGGACAGAUAUGCAGGGACAGACUGGCAGAGACAGGGAGUCUCAGUGCCCCCCAGAGUUUCACAGCAAACAUGCCGGAGUCACUGCCAGAAUCUGUGACGGUUCAUCCAGGAGCACCUGUGUCUUCACUGACAGAUUGAUGACUUCAAUCAGUAACACCAAAACUCGCUAUAGCUCGAUUGAAAUUCAAAGGCAAUGUUCUCGAAGACUGGAAAUGACCUUUACAUUUCAAGCGCGCUAUUUUCAGCAAUCACAAUCCUUGUAAAAACGUCAACUCAUGGUAUAACUAAUAACGUUUUUUUACAUUUUAUUAUGUCAGUGUGGUUAUAAGCCGCUAUAGCUCUGAAGUUCGAGUGUGUGUGUGUGUGUGUGUUGUAGUAGUAGGCCAUUAUUUCUUCGAACAUCUCAGUUUGG